GACCGCCAGCUAAGGUCCCAAAGUCAUGGUUAAGUGGGAAACGAUGUGGGAAGGCCCAGACAGCCAGGAUGUUGGCUUAGAAGCAGCCAUCAUUUAAAGAAAGCGUAAUAGCUCACUGGUCGAGUCGGCCUGCGCGGAAGAUGUAACGGGGCUAAACCAUGCACCGAAGCUGCGGCAGCGACACUAUGUGUUGUUGGGUAGGGGAGCGUUCUGUAAGCCUGUGAAGGUGUACUGUGAGGUAUGCUGGAGGUAUCAGAAGUGCGAAUGCUGACAUAAGUAACGAUAAAGCGGGUGAAAAGCCCGCUCGCCGGAAGACCAAGGGUUCCUGUCCAACGUUAAUCGGGGCAGGGUGAGUCGACCCCUAAGGCGAGGCCGAAAGGCGUAGUCGAUGGGAAACAGGUUAAUAUUCCUGUACUUGGUGUUACUGCGAAGGGGGGACGGAGAAGGCUAUGUUGGCCGGGCGACGGUUGUCCCGGUUUAAGCGUGUAGGCUGGUUUUCCAGGCAAAUCCGGAAAAUCAAGGCUGAGGCGUGAUGACGAGGCACUACGGUGCUGAAGCAACAAAUGCCCUGCUUCCAGGAAAAGCCUCUAAGCAUCAGGUAACAUCAAAUCGUACCCCAAACCGACACAGGUGGUCAGGUAGAGAAUACCAAGGCGCUUGAGAGAACUCGGGUGAAGGAACUAGGCAAAAUGGUGCCGUAACUUCGGGAGAAGGCACGCUGAUAUGUAGGUGAAGCGACUUGCUCGUGGAGCUGAAAUCAGUCGAAGAUACCAGCUGGCUGCAACUGUUUAUUAAAAACACAGCACUGUGCAAACACGAAAGUGGACGUAUACGGUGUGACGCCUGCCCGGUGCCGGAAGGUUAAUUGAUGGGGUUAGCGGUAACGCGAAGCUCUUGAUCGAAGCCCCGGUAAACGGCGGCCGUAACUAUAACGGUCCUAAGGUAGCGAAAUUCCUUGUCGGGUAAGUUCCGACCUGCACGAAUGGCGUAAUGAUGGCCAGGCUGUCUCCACCCGAGACUCAGUGAAAUUGAACUCGCUGUGAAGAUGCAGUGUACCCGCGGCAAGACGGAAAGACCCCGUGAACCUUUACUAUAGCUUGACACUGAACAUUGAGCCUUGAUGUGUAGGAUAGGUGGGAGGCUUUGAAGUGUGG
RNAcentral lists this ribosomal RNA (1154 nucleotides) under Escherichia coli. RNAcentral describes it as "partial 23S ribosomal RNA". It matches the Rfam family "Bacterial large subunit ribosomal RNA", at positions 1030 to 2167 of the family's 2925-position model. Lineage: Bacteria; Pseudomonadati; Pseudomonadota; Gammaproteobacteria; Enterobacterales; Enterobacteriaceae. The record is from RNAcentral.